Molecule: microRNA precursor, 89 nt
Filed under: Chlorocebus sabaeus (green monkey)
Lineage: Eukaryota; Metazoa; Chordata; Mammalia; Primates; Cercopithecidae
Description: miRNA (ENSCSAG00000027153.1)
Source: RNAcentral
AAUUACUAUUAGGUUGGUGCAAAAGUAAUUGUGGUUUUGCCACUUAAAGUAAUGGCAAAAACUGCAAUUUCUUUUGCACCAAUCUAACA